Molecule: ribosomal RNA, 473 nt
Filed under: uncultured bacterium
Lineage: Bacteria
Description: bacterial SSU rRNA
Rfam family: Bacterial small subunit ribosomal RNA
Source: RNAcentral
GACGAACGCUGGCGGCGUGCCUAACACAUGCAAGUCGAGCGGGGUUGAAGCGAGGGGUAACUCGAGUUUCUACCUAGCGGCGGACGGGUGAGUAACGCGUGGGCAACCUGCCUCAAGGACUGGGAUAACAGCUCGAAAGGGCUGCUAAUACCGGAUAAGCCUAUGGCCUCGCAUGGGGCCAUGAGCAAAGGAGAAACCCGCCUUGAGAUGGGCCCGCGUCCCAUCAGCUAGUUGGUGAGGUGAAGGCUCACCAAGGCGACGACGGGUAGCCGGCCUGAGAGGGUGACCGGCCACACUGGGACUGAGACACGGCCCAGACUCCUACGGGGGCAGCAGUGGGGAAUCUUGCACAAUGGGCGAAAGCCUGAUGCAGCGACGCCGCGUGAGCGAAGAAGGCCUUCGGUGUAAGCUCUGUCUGGAGGGACGAAGGAAGUGACGGUACCUCCGGAGGAAGGCCACGGCGUAACUACGUG